RNAcentral lists this ribosomal RNA (442 nucleotides) under uncultured bacterium. RNAcentral's name for it is "partial 16S ribosomal RNA". It matches the Rfam family "Bacterial small subunit ribosomal RNA", at positions 338 to 795 of the family's 1533-position model. The record is from RNAcentral.
CCUACGGGAGGCAGCAGUGGGGAAUAUUGGGCAAUGGGCGCAAGCCUGACCCAGCAAUGCCGCGUGAAGGAAGAAGGCUUUCGGGUUGUAAACUUCUUUGACAGGGGAAGAGCAGAAGACGGUACCCUGAAAACAAGCCACGGCUAACUACGUGCCAGCAGCCGCGGUAAUACGGAGGGUGCGAGCGUUAAUCGGAAUUACUGGGCGUAAAGCGCUCGUAGGCGGUAUGUCAAGUCAAGGGCGAAAUCCCCGCGCUCAACGUGGGAACUGCCUUUGAAACUGGCAAACUGGAGUGUGUGAGAGGAUAGUGGAAUUCCAGGUGUAGGAGUGAAAUCCGUAGAUAUCUGGAGGAACAUCAGUGGCGAAGGCGACUAUCUGGCACAUAACUGACGCUGAGGAGCGAAAGCGUGGGUAGCAAACAGGAUUAGAUACCCGUGUAGUC